This 155-nucleotide small RNA is filed under the name Aureimonas sp. Leaf454. RNAcentral's name for it is "Alphaproteobacterial sRNA ar9". It matches the Rfam family "Alphaproteobacterial sRNA ar9". The record is from Rfam by way of RNAcentral. Lineage: Bacteria; Pseudomonadati; Pseudomonadota; Alphaproteobacteria; Hyphomicrobiales; Aurantimonadaceae.
AUAAGAUGAAUGUCGCAAAGACGUUCGAAGCGCGGUCUAGUCUCGGGAGGACGUGAUUUUCGGCGCCGGACUUAUCGGCUGCCCCGAACAAUGUAUUCGGCGUAAAAUCCAGACCUGCAGGACUCAAAUGCAAGACGAAGGUCUUGCAUUUUUUU